RNAcentral lists this unclassified non-coding RNA (156 nucleotides) under uncultured Periconia. Its description in RNAcentral is "sequence contains ITS2". Lineage: Eukaryota; Fungi; Ascomycota; Sordariomycetes; Microascales; Halosphaeriaceae. The record is from RNAcentral.
ACACCCUCAAGCUCUGCUUGGUGUUGGGCGUUUGUCCCGCCUCUCGCGCGUGGACUCGCUUCAAAGUCAUUGGCAGCGGCCUCGCCGGCUUCUCGCGCAGCACAUUUGCGCUUCUUGCAGCCCUGGCGUAUCCGCGUCCAGCAAGCUCUUUUUGCG